This 248-nucleotide long non-coding RNA is filed under the name Lathyrus oleraceus (garden pea). Its description in RNAcentral is "Pisum sativum (pea) long non-coding RNA (PSAT_LNC025185)". The record is from RNAcentral. Lineage: Eukaryota; Viridiplantae; Streptophyta; Magnoliopsida; Fabales; Fabaceae.
AGUUAUGCAUGAUUGAAGUUUGAGUGUUCAAUUUUGAUUUCUUCGAUUUGAGUGAUAUGUGUUGUUUUUGGUUGAUUCAUUGUUGGAUCCGUGCUUACCAUGAAGAAACCGGUUGAAUGAUUGUAUUAUUUGUGAUUUCUGGAACAUUUUUUGAUUUUUCUGGAAAAUGUGUAUGAAGAUCAUCAUGAUCUUCAUCUUCAAGCUUGAAGUUCAUCGUGUUUCCAGUUUUGCUACGAAAUAUGCAUGGC